AAUCAACGCUGGCGGCGUGCCUCAGACAUGCAAGUCGAACGCUGCUGUUCGCCUUCGGGUGGACAGCGGAGUGGCGCACGGGUGAGUAACACGUAGGUAAUCUACCUUUGGGUGGGAAUAACAGCCGGAACGGCUGCUAAUACCGCAUAAUGCAGCGGCAUCACAUGAUGACAGUUGUUAAAGCGAGGGAUCGUAAGACCUCGCGCCUGAAGAGGAGCCUGCGGCAGAUUAGGUAGUUGGUGAGGUAAUGGCUCACCAAGCCUGCGAUCUGUAACCGGCCUGAGAGGGCGGGUCGGUCACACUGACACUGACAUACGGGUCAGACUCCUACGGGAGGCAGCA
This 342-nucleotide ribosomal RNA is filed under the name uncultured bacterium. Its description in RNAcentral is "bacterial SSU rRNA". It matches the Rfam family "Bacterial small subunit ribosomal RNA", at positions 32 to 353 of the family's 1533-position model. The record is from RNAcentral.